CGGAGGGUGCAAGCGUUAUCCGGAUUCACUGGGUUUAAAGGGUGCGUAGGCGGAAUGGAAAGUCCGUUGUGAAAUCUCUGAGCUUAACUCGGAAAUUGCGGUGGAUACUAUCAUUCUUGAAUACUGUGGAGGUUAGCGGAAUAUGUCAUGUAGCGGUGAAAUGCAUAGAUAUGACAUAGAACACCAAUUGCGAAGGCAGCUGGCUACACAGAUAUUGACGCUGAGGCACGAAAGCGUGGGGAUCAAACAGGAUUAGAUACCCUGGUAGUCCACGCCCUAAACGAUGAUUACUCGACAUUUGCGAUACACAGCAAGUGUCUGAGCGAAAGCAUUAAGUAAUCCACCUGGGAAGUACGACCGCAAGGUUG
This 368-nucleotide ribosomal RNA is filed under the name uncultured organism. Its description in RNAcentral is "bacterial SSU rRNA". It matches the Rfam family "Bacterial small subunit ribosomal RNA", at positions 526 to 896 of the family's 1533-position model. The record is from RNAcentral.